GGGCCGGGCCGGGCGGUGACGGGACCGCUUUGAGCCUCGCGCCGCGCCUCGUGGGAGCCCCCGCCGGACUGGCUGCAAACGGCUCCGCUGCGGAGCUCAGGCUCCAGACAAGAAGCUCCAGCUGCUGCUCCUCUCUCUCUGCUUGCUGUCACCCCAGGCAAAGGAGUGAGCUGGUGUUAGCAGAAGGUGCCUGAAAUAAAGUAGCAGGAGGAGGUCUCUGGGAUAAAGAAGUGAAUCCAAGGGACCCACAGGGAGUGGAGUGAACUACUGGAUUGGAGCCGUUCUCAUAAAACGCUGAUGAUGACAACCUGGGGAAUUAGAAAAGUACCUCUGAGAAGAGAAACGGAGUGGCAGGAAGCCUAGUACUGUCUGUUUUCAGCUAUGCCUUGCAGUGUGUCCAGCAAGUCCAAGAAAGAAUCAGUUCUGCCUCACAGCCAGUCCACAGCAAUGGCUCUAGUGGUUAUGGAAGUCUUGGUAGCAGUGGAUCUUAUGAAUACUAUAUCAGCAUAGCAUCUUCCAGUGACUCCAAUGGAAAUUGUGUAGAAGAAAUACGAAAACCAGAUGACUCUGUAGCAGGUCUGUGCCAACAUCAGUCAAAUAAAGAAUUUGGGGCAGCAGUUGUAUAUUGA
RNAcentral lists this long non-coding RNA (629 nucleotides) under Crocodylus porosus (Australian saltwater crocodile). RNAcentral's name for it is "lncRNA (ENSCPRG00005011157.1)". The record is from RNAcentral. Lineage: Eukaryota; Metazoa; Chordata; Crocodylia; Crocodylidae.